RNAcentral lists this ribosomal RNA (502 nucleotides) under uncultured bacterium. RNAcentral describes it as "partial 16S ribosomal RNA". It matches the Rfam family "Bacterial small subunit ribosomal RNA", at positions 30 to 523 of the family's 1533-position model. The record is from RNAcentral.
AUUGAACGCUGGCGGAAUGCUUUACACAUGCAAGCCGAACGGCAGCAUAGGUGCUUGCACCUGAUGGCGAGUGGCGAACGGGUGAGUAAUACAUCGGAACGUGCCCAGUCGUGGGGGAUAACGGAGCGAAAGUUACGCUAAUACCGCAUACGAUCUAAGGAAGAAAGCGGGGGACCGUAAGGCCUCGCGCGAUUGGAGCGGCCGCUGUCAGAUUAGGUAGUUGGUGAGGUAAAGGCUCACCAAGCCGACGAUCUGUAGCUGGUCUGAAAGGACGACCAGCCACACUGGGACUGAGACACGGCCCAGACUCCUACGGGAGGCAGCAGUGGGGAAUUUUGGACAAUGGACGCAAGUCUGAUCCAGCCAUUCCGCGUGCAGGACGAAGGCCUUCGGGUUGUAAACUGCUUUUGUACGGAACGAAAAAGCUCUUACUAAUACUAGGAGUCCAUGACGGUACCGUAAGAAUAAGCACCGGCUAACUACGUGCCAGCCGCCGCCGUAA